Molecule: ribosomal RNA, 151 nt
Filed under: Nephroma isidiosum
Lineage: Eukaryota; Fungi; Ascomycota; Lecanoromycetes; Peltigerales; Nephromataceae
Description: 5.8S ribosomal RNA
Rfam family: 5.8S ribosomal RNA
About the family: 5.8S ribosomal RNA (5.8S rRNA) is a component of the large subunit of the eukaryotic ribosome. It is transcribed by RNA polymerase I as part of the 45S precursor that also contains 18S and 28S rRNA.
Source: RNAcentral
CAACAACGGAUCUCUUGGUUCUGGCAUCGAUGAAGAACGCAGCGAAAUGCGAUAAGUAAUGUGAAUUGCAGAAUUCAGUGAAUCAUCUGGAUCUUUGAACGCACAUUGCGCCUCCUGGAAAUUCCGGAAGGCAUACCUGUUCGAGCGUCAU